UUGCAUUAACUUCGAAGUUAGAACUUGAGUUUCAACGACUUUUAAAUACCUCUAUCUUCUAAAGGACAGCCCGUCUUAAAAUCAUUAUGGGCCCUGUGCUCAGAUUAUAUUUUCCCAAACUUAUAGUUACAAGAACUUUAUUUACGACUCCGCGUUUGUUAAAAAAAAUAAUGCCCCUAGUAAAUCCAAAGCUUUAGUUAAAAAAAAUAAACCCAAAGCUAUACGCUAAUUACAUUAAAUAUGAGGAAUAAUAAUUGUGGUUUCCGUAUUCCAAUGGUUGCGGAGGAUA
This 289-nucleotide long non-coding RNA is filed under the name Brassica rapa (field mustard). RNAcentral describes it as "long non-coding RNA (BRAP_LNC002952)". Lineage: Eukaryota; Viridiplantae; Streptophyta; Magnoliopsida; Brassicales; Brassicaceae. The record is from RNAcentral.